AGACGAAGCCGAAGCGAAAGCGAGUCUUAAUAGGGCGUGCAGUUGUUGGGGGUAGACCCGAAACCGAGUGAUCUAUCCAUGGCCAGGUUGAAGCGCGAGUAAGAUCGCGUGGAGGACCGAACCCACCAAAGUUGAAAAUUUGGGGGAUGAGCUGUGGAUAGGGGUGAAAGGCCAAUCAAACUUGGAUAUAGCUGGUUUUCCGCGAA
RNAcentral lists this ribosomal RNA (206 nucleotides) under Alexandrium tamarense. RNAcentral describes it as "partial Bacterial large subunit ribosomal RNA". It matches the Rfam family "Bacterial large subunit ribosomal RNA", at positions 658 to 863 of the family's 2925-position model. The record is from RNAcentral. Lineage: Eukaryota; Dinophyceae; Gonyaulacales; Pyrocystaceae.